AUGAACCAAUUACACCAGAAAGCCACAGAGUUGUGGUCGUCUUGCUCCGGGUGUUUCAACGAUGGUGGUGGUCAUCCAUGGAGGGGUGCUAGUUGCCGAAGAAGGGCCACGCCACGAGGCUCAGCGAGGAAGGCAGCACGCAGGGAGAGCAGCUGCAGCAGCACAACGUCGCUGCAGACACAGGAGGAGGAAAGCCAUGGCAGAGGAGGGGCUUGUGCACGGGAGGGAGCAGUAAGGCGGCGCUGGAGGGAGGAGGCGCUGGACUUGGGCUCCGGCGGGAGGGAGGAGGAGGCACAAGAGCGCGGCGGACGAGCGGGAGGUUCGCGGGGUCUCGGGCGCGGCGUGCAGAGGAGGCAGCGGCGCGGAGGAUGUAGGAGGGAAGGACGAGGCGUGAUGGAGGAGGAACCAAAGGCGGGGAUGGGGUCCUGUCGACGAGGUUCGACCGGAAACGGGCAGGGCGGUGGAGGCUGGCCUGAUCUGGUGGUGGAAGAGGCAGCAGGAGGUCGCCGGCGCGAGGGAAGGAGAGCAGGGGAACGAAGGGAGAGGGAGGUGGAUCGAAGAAGGGAGCGGCGCUGCUCUCCCUCUCUGAUGGCGCGUCGAGGGAUGACUCGGUCUCUGGCGCUGCGGCGGGAGAAAUGGGAUCGAGGGAGAGAUCGAGAGGACAGGGGUCGAGCAGAUGGCAUCGGGCACGGGCGCUCCUGGCGGCGUGAGGAGGGAGACGAGGGAAGGGAACGAAGGAGAUGGAGAGGGAGCGGCUGGGCCUAG
Molecule: ribosomal RNA, 765 nt
Filed under: Triticum aestivum (bread wheat)
Lineage: Eukaryota; Viridiplantae; Streptophyta; Magnoliopsida; Poales; Poaceae
Description: partial small subunit ribosomal RNA
Source: RNAcentral